GAUCUUCGGUGUAGCAAUACAUCGGCGGUCCUAGUGGCGCACGGGUGAGUAACACGUGGGUAACCUGUCCUUGAGUUCGGGAUACCCUUUCGAAAGGAAGGCUAAUACCGGAUACGUUCCUCGGAUUGCGAAAUCUGGGGAGGAAAGGUGGCGAAAGCUACCGCUCUUGGAGGGGCUCGCGGCCUAUCAGCUAGUUGGUGAGGUAACGGCUCACCAAGGCUAUGACGGGUAGCUGGUCUGAGAGGACGACCAGCCACACGGGAACUGAGACACGGUCCCGACUCCUACGGGAGGCAGCAGUGGGGAAUUUUCCGCAAUGGGCGAAAGCCUGACGGAGUGACGCCGCGUGGGGGACGAAGGCCUUCGGG
RNAcentral lists this ribosomal RNA (368 nucleotides) under uncultured bacterium. RNAcentral describes it as "bacterial SSU rRNA". It matches the Rfam family "Bacterial small subunit ribosomal RNA", at positions 64 to 422 of the family's 1533-position model. The record is from RNAcentral.